Molecule: ribosomal RNA, 177 nt
Filed under: Vibrio cholerae
Lineage: Bacteria; Pseudomonadati; Pseudomonadota; Gammaproteobacteria; Vibrionales; Vibrionaceae
Description: partial 16S ribosomal RNA
Rfam family: Bacterial small subunit ribosomal RNA
Source: RNAcentral
UUAAUUGAAGAGUUUGAUCAUGGCUCAGAUUGAACGCUGGCGGCAGGCCUAACACAUGCAAGUCGAGCGGCAGCACAGAGGAACUUGUUCCUUGGGUGGCGAGCGGCGGACGGGUGAGUAAUGCCUGGGAAAUUGCCCGGUAGAGGGGGAUAACCAUUGGAAACGAUGGCUAAUACC